AACGAACGCUGGCGGCAUGCCUAACACAUGCAAGUCGAACGAGACCUUCGGGUCUAGUGGCGCACGGGUGCGUAACGCGUGGGAACCUGCCCUUAGGUUCGGAAUAACUCCCCGAAAGGGGUGCUAAUACCGGAUAAUGUCUUCGGACCAAAGAUUUAUCGCCUUUGGAUGGGCCCGCGUUGGAUUAGCUAGUUGGUAGGGUAAAAGCCUACCAAGGCGACGAUCCAUAGCUGGUCUGAGAGGAUGAUCCGCCACACUGGGACUGAGACCCGGCCCAGACUCCUACGGGAGGCAGCGGUGGGGAAUAUUGGACAAGGGGCGAAAGCCUGAUCCAGCAAUGCCGCGUGAGUGAUGAAGGCCUUAGGGUUGUAAAGCUCUUUUAGCCGGGAUGAUAAUGACAGUACCGGGAGAAUAAGCUCCGGCUAACUCCGUG
RNAcentral lists this ribosomal RNA (433 nucleotides) under uncultured bacterium. RNAcentral's name for it is "partial 16S ribosomal RNA". It matches the Rfam family "Bacterial small subunit ribosomal RNA", at positions 29 to 507 of the family's 1533-position model. The record is from RNAcentral.